UACAUGUCAACAGAACAAGAGUUCACUAGAUGCAGUAAUGGAUUUUGCUUCUACGGAUACAAUUACGCGAACUCAUAUUCCUCCGAAUAUUAAUUCACAGAAGAAGAUAAUAUCGAAAAGAAAACUGAGUACUCAUAGUAAUAAAAACGAUGGAAUUGCUUCAGAUGAUCAUUUCAAGCUUAAAAAAAUUAUACAUCGAGAUAUUGAACGUCAAAGAAGACAAGA
Molecule: unclassified non-coding RNA, 225 nt
Filed under: Hevea brasiliensis (rubber tree)
Lineage: Eukaryota; Viridiplantae; Streptophyta; Magnoliopsida; Malpighiales; Euphorbiaceae
Source: RNAcentral